CAGAAUAGGUAGAAUAUGUCUAUAAAGCAUAGGUAACAGAGAAAUGUUUAAAGGAUUGAUUGAAUAUUUCACUCAUAAGGAGACGUCACCAAUGUCGGUGAAGGGCUGCAAAAUUUAGGUGAAGGAGAUUACAGACUCUUCAUUCAUUCGGCUAAAUCAAUAUCGUACUUUGUUGCCAGAAAAGGAGUAAUACAAGUAACCAGCGUAAUAUACCGGGAUCAUCAUCAAUAGAAUAAAACAAUCAAGGUGAUUAAGAUAAAACCUGACUGGGGCACAGAACGUGUCUCUCCUUCGCUGUAGGGCAGGUUGUGACCUUCACGACGUUAUUAAGCAUAACCAUUUACCGGCAAAUAUAUAUACAUGUAUUUCUAGGUAUCUUUGAAAUAGGGAAAUCCUUAAAGUAUUGUUUUAUCAUCAAUCUAUUUACAUUCUAUGACAGAGUUAGUGUGAUUUAGAAGAGAUCAAGCAUUUCAUAAUUCUUAAAACGGGACGCAAUGUUAAUUGUCAGAUGGAUCCUAAAAUGGACAAGGAGAAUCUUUUUUUUUUUUUUUUUUUUUUUUUUUUUUUUUUAGCGUAUAUGGAAUUCCCGCAGCGUGUCUAUCAGUUCUCAUUGACUUCAAAAAUUCUAUAGAAUACAAAAUUAAGAGAAGGGCAAACACGGACCCCUGGAUGUACCAGAGGUGGGAUCAGGUGUCUAGGAGAAGUAAGUAUUCCCUGUUGACCGAUCACACCCACUGUGUUAAGUUAUUGUUGAUUCCAAAGAAAACUAGAUACUGGACAAAGACGACGCAUGUUUUUUGGGGGGUGUUUUUUAUUUUUGUUUUUUUGUUUUUGUAACUUGUAAAAUACAAAGGGACAAAGCCAGGUAUAAAUCAUAUCGGUCGCAAAAUUGUGGGAAAUAUGUAUAUAAAUUUUGAAAUGAAAAAUUAGCAUUCAAAUAAUUCGUCGGCCAUAGAUUGUAAUGGUUCGGUUAAUGCAAAUUGGGUCAUGAUCUAAUUCAUGAAGUAGUCGAUAAACAUUCCUUCAUAUCUGUCUGCUAUAAAUACCUUCUCUGAUCUUAUUUCCAUUCAAAACAUUUAAAAAGAAAAAUAUUUUCCAUUACAGAUUCUUAAUGCAUAUCUUUAUGAAUCAUCAAAGACGACCAAGUGUGCAAUAAAGCGACACAACUUCAAUGCAUACGUAAAAAUGUAAAGGUAUAUAUAAUGAACAUUUAACAGGCUUAUCGUAAAUACAAAAGCAUUUUAAAAUAUUCCUUGCAUAGAAACUAAUACAAGUGCUAAGAAUAAUCGAAAUCCUCAAAGGAGAAGGUAUAGUGGGGGCCUUAUAUGACUCCCCCACCUCUUGCGAAGAACAGCGAUGACAAAACUGUAGAACAUUAUCUACAUGUAAAUUAAAAUUUUGAAAAUAAUCAGUAUUUGUCUAUUUAAAAAAAUAGACAAAUUUUGAACUUGUAUGUUGCUUCAGAAAAUGCAUGUAUAAAGCACUCACUUGCGUAUCUCUCAAGUUUUACUCAAAAUCAUUACAACCCUGUGGCUAUACUCAUUCGUGAUCGUGAUUAGAUCUUUCUAUAGGCAUUAACUUAAAACCACUUAUUAAUAGGUUUCAUGAUUUUAAGUCUAUUUCAAAAUUUAACAGGAAUUAAGGGAAAAUGGGGGCCACAUGAAUCUCUUAUCCUACCAUGUUCUUCAGCCCUAACCCCUAAAACAACCAACCAAACAAACAAAUGCUAAAACCAAGUCCUCAACCAAACAUCAAAAUCCCAAGAAUCGUAAGCUUGGAAAUGACAUAAUUUGCAGAGAGUGAAAUGUUCUUUGUCCACAACUGCAAAACUUUGGAUUUGAGAUCCACGGAUAUCACAUCCGAUGUAAUUGCAAACUCAAUAUUUUUCAUUUACCAUUUGUAAAUACUUUAUGAAUAAAAUAAAUGUAGAACUCCCAGCCACUAAAAAGUGUUUCUAUGUCCUAGGAUGUGGGGAGAUGAUUCUGACUUAUUUCACAUGUUUAAGUCUGAAAAUUUUAUACCUUCUCAACACUGAAGAGUUCCGAUCGUCUAUUUCGUAAUAACUUGUACUAUGAUUUAGUACAGAAAACUGUCUGGAGGCACAGAACUUUCUAAAGAUACCUUCAAAUUGACUCGUCAAAAAUUUACAGUUUUCUUUUUAUUGCAUUUACUUUUCAUGCUUAAAUGCUUUGUGUAAAGUAAUUGUCAUUUAAAAAGUUAUGCACCUCGGGACAGUUAAUGGUUCAAACUACAUUGUAUUAUGAAAUAGACUAUGGGAACUCUUUAGUGUUGAGAAGGUAUAAAAUUAAAUGGUGGCCAUUUGCAACAGCUUCGAAAAUAUCCAACUUGAUUUACCAUGGGAUUUACACCAUGUAAAGUACACCCACACUGUAUGUACCGAAACAAGAGCCAAGGCAACACAUGACAACGGUCCUGUCUUCAACAACCACAAGCUGCGUCACAAAGGGUCAAAGAAAGUUCUUGCACUAUGGACACAGAGGAACAAUGUUACGGUUUCCUAAGUUUAGAAAGGGAACCUUGUCAAGUAUCAUUGUUUGGGAAACCCUGGAAUCCGGUGACAGCUAAUUUCUCAUCGCAGGAAACUAGGAACUUGUAGAAGAACAUGUAAUCCAAACCAGGGGAAAAUGGAGGAGGGGGGGGGGGGUUACAAGAAACAUUUUACCGAGCUGUAUAUUUACUAGUAUAUACAUGCAUAUUGACUUUAAAUAAAUUAUUUUGAAAUUAUUUUAGAUUAUAUAGGUCAGAUCGUUGCACUUUUCAAAGCGUUCACUAGUUGGAAUCUCAAAAUGGUCCAUUUUGUCUUGAUUUCAUAGAGAAAUUUCAAUCGGGUGUAUAAUUAAGUAGGCAUCAUCCCUUCUUGGAGAUCGUUGGUUUCAAGCAGUUUUCUAGUAGUUUCAAUGUUAUUUAGGAUCUAUAAGGGACUCUUUAGUAUCUUAAGAUACCCCCUCCCCAUUUAAUAUUCAUAUCUUGUAUCACAUCCAAUAAAACGUAAAAGUUAUUUUCCACGAUUACACACAAGUAAUUUCCCUAUAUUUCAAUAUACAAAAACUCUUUAGAAUUAAUCCUAGUGAAUAUGAUGCUAGAGCACAGAAGGGUGGAUAGUGAUCAUAAUGUGUAAUAUAUUGUUUAAUUACGUAUAAAUAUAACAGGUCAUAACUUCACUCUUUUCUAUGGGAUGCUGACCGACUCCAAUAGAUCGUGCAGAUUUUAGCACCUUCAUCGACUUGCAAAAUCAAGUAAAUGUAAUUAUGCUUAUUGCAACUGAACUUUUCACAUAUGACAAGAUGGUAAUUGUUUCUUUGUUUACUUUACAACAUGUGCGGACAAACAAGGUAGUCUGACGUUUGCUUCAGCUGUCAUGAAGUUUUGUUCGUCUCUGCCUACACAGUUUGCAUGUGUCCCAGUCCGUGGCACAAACGCGGAAACAACCGACCUAACGCUAUCAGUGCGGUGUGUUCCUCGAUCAAUGCAAGAACUAAACCUUCUAGAGGGUAAAUCAAAUAGAAUGACCAACAUUUGACCUUUCCUUGAUAACUACAAGUGUUGAGAUUGUGCAAGGUAGACACUGAUCAGUAGGUAACCCGAGUGGACAAGUAUAACAUUUAUCAAUAUGACCCUAAUCUGUAUUCCAACAGGUACAUAGGUAUACAAGAAAUAGAAUCAGUUAUGAAACACCACCCUUGUAGUCACUUGUUGUAGGUGGAAUAGAUAGUAUUUACCAAUUACCAAGUUUCUUAUAAAAGUUUGGACUGAAAAAUGGGCAUACUAUUGCAUGGUUAGCAAUAAAACUGAAAAGAUAUCAACUAAAAUAGAAUCAAUCUAGGAUCACCGUAGUUGCUCUACAUCUGAAGUUGACGACUUUCAAAGUUCGUCACAAUAAAAACGCGUCAUAAUUCGGUCAACAAUGCACUUUUUCCUUGUAUGUUUACUAACUUACAGGUGCUUGUCAAGAUUAUAGAUUUGUAAAUGCAUUGUACUUUGAUACGUCAUUCAUUAAAAAUUUCCGGGAAGUUUACAAGACACCAGUUCUAACCCACCUUCGUUCUAAUAGUUUGGAUCAAAGGGACCGCAAUUACAUUAAUGUAACAGAAACGAGAAUUACUGUAAUGACUGGGAAACUGUGUAGAUGGUAUUUACUGAUUAAUUUAGUCUUAAUAACAACGUAAUCAAAUUGUAGUUUAGUUUGGAAGACAGAUCUGUGGUCCCAUUCAUACAUGAAAGUUUAACUCCUUACAUGGCACAUGCGUUAAACUUGCAUAGGUCCAGAUAUAUUUUACACCUUUAGAUUCUUUAGAGAAAUAAAGUUUGUACAGAUCGUUUCUCAUUUACUGCGACCGAUUUUUCGGCAUUUCCGAGAACGCUGGUAUACACGAGGACAGACUAUUUUGUAUUUCCUAGGUCCGACUGGGUACUAACAAUCAUCAGCAUCGCAAUCCUGUCACCGAUAUCCUACACAUCGCAAAAUAUUCGAUUAUACAAAAGUCCCAGGAAGUCGGGUUAAUUUUACUUUAUUUCAAGUUUGACCUGAUUUGUUUUAGAUGAUGUUGAAAACAUUACAAAUUCUGAGAGAGAAACGAAUAUAUUUCUCAAGAAUUUUUCGUUACACCGUAUCCCCUCACAUGUAACCAUUCCCCUUACAAUAUUGACAUGUACUUAAUACUCUAUUUGAAAAGGCAUACCAGACUAUUCAAGUUUGUCAAGUGUGUUGUGAAUGUAGAUUUGAAGGUCGGGCUAUAUCAGUGUUAUCAGAACUGUGAAACGAACACUCGGUGCAAACACAAAGAUAGAGCAAAGAGGGUAAUCACAUACGACGCAGGGGCGGAUUCAAUGAGGGCGUAACAGUCAUAAAACAUAAUUUUUUCAGUCUCAUUCGAGAAUAUUACACUUAUAUAGGAACGUCACUAUCUAGCAGGUGAAGUGCCACAAAUUUUGCCGUAUACAUGACCCUCAAGGUUGUAGUAGUGAGGGCUCUUUAUGAUACCAACACCUAACUUGACCCAGGAACUCUUGGAUCUUUUUGAAUUUGAUCAUAUUCGGGUUUUAUAGGUUUGAUCACUUGAUUAAUUUCAUUAGUUGUAACAGUGAACUUAUGGAUAUGAUAGCUUAUCGUCUGUACGUGUAUCUACAUCUACCGGUAAUUAGGAAUGAUAUUUCGUAUGCAGGAUUAUGUACGUCGAUCUGAUUGGACUACUCACUUCUUUGCUCUUUCGUGUUCAUUGCCAAGUACCGAAACUGCGAGGACUAAAGUGCAAAGGAUCGAGCGAGAACGCUAAGGAGCAAAAUUAAUAUUCCACUUUUUCGCAUUUGGAAAUUGUUAUUACGCAUGCGUGAAGUAAAAUUAUUGGGAGUUUCCCCCCCUUCUAAAUCUUUUCAUUUUGUUUGUUGAUGCAUGCAGUGUAUCCAUCUACGAAUCUCCUUUCUCGCUUUAUACUUUUUACAUGUCUAUAAUCUACCGGGUACAAUUUGUACAGAAUCAAUCGGUUAUCAUAUAUACUAAUCUCGGCUGAGAUUCGGCUUGGCUGAAUAUUUGGACUGACGCUUUCACCGAAUCUCGCAGCAGUCCUUCAUAAUUUACUUUCAGCUUCGACCGGUUCUAGCAAUUAAUGUGCACUUAGUUGACACUGCUGUUCGCUUCAUAUAAGUGCUUUGACUGUUAAACUAACUCUCUAUCACUAUUAGUUUCGCAUUGCUUACGUCUAGACAUGAAAAUCCUAAAAUGAAGAGUCACUAAAUUUUCCGUUCAAAUGAUGACUUCCACGGCUCAAUAUCUUAUCUCCCGGAAUUGAAGAGUUCCAAUAGUUUCUUUGUUUUUUAAAUUAGCGAUCUACAAGACGGUAUAUGGAGAUACACUGUAUCUGUAACUAAAUAAUACAGACUAUUGGACUGAUCCGAGAUUCGGUGAAGGCGUCAGUCCAAAUAUGCAGCCAAGCCGAUCUCAGAUAUACAUGUACACAUGUACAAUGCACGCACGACAACUUUUGGUGCAUCAAAUUAUGCGAACAUGAUUUUUAUUUGUCUUACACAUAAUCUUGUACUUCAUCCAAAAUACAUAGUAAAAUAAUCUAAAAAAUACUUUUACAUUGUACAUGAUAGAUUUCAUUACAGCUAUAGUGUAGUCAUAACAGGAUAGAUAUAUAGCGCAAUGGGAGAGCGUUCGUUUCGUAACCGUAAGUUUGUGAGUUCGAGCCCCGCUCGAAAAAUGAUCGCGUUAAACCUAAGACGAAAUGUAAGUGAUUGCUCAUUCACUAAACGGUCAGCAUUUAGAAGCAAAAAUCACGGGUCUUUCGGAUAUGACGUUAAAAACGGAGGUUCUAGGUCGCGGCAGACGUUGGUACGUUAAAGAACCCCUGUCACUACUACAGCCGUAAGUGCUAAGCAUAGGUCUUUUGUGGCACCUCACCUACAACGGAUGACGUCUUAAUAUGAGAGAAUAAGUCUCGAAAAAAAAACCCCAAAAAAAAAACCACACAAAAAAAAACACACACACACAAAAACAUCACUACUACUACUUGUCAAGUACAUCAUUUCCCGAAAAUGGCGACACAAUGAGAACGUGGCACUUCAUCAAUAAGACAACACGGCGAUUUUUCCCAAUCAUUUCUCGAAUAUGGCAACACAAUAUCUUAGUAGCUUUAUUAAUAAGACACCAUGCGUUUUUUCCAUUUAUCUUUGAAAUGAAACAUCAUUUACAGAAGGGAAUACCAGUAAAUUAAUAUAGUGUAAAUAUAGUUGCACGUGUUAUGAAAACUAAAUACUGAAUGGAAGACAUAAGGACCUCCAAAUUAAUUUACAAAUAGAAAAUCAUACAAAAGAGAUGGGAAAGAUUAAUGAAGCAAUGACACAGGUUUCAAAGUAGAAUGAAUCCGACCCCCUUUUUAUGUAAAACAACAAUACCUAUGAUGCCUUUCACAAACAUUGCUAUACACUGUAACAAACAAGUCACACUAAAUUCUGCUCACAUGGUGUUAGUUUUCAAAAUGACAUUUUAUGAAGUACACGUAUGUACAUAUAUUUGUAUGUAUAUUUUUUUGUGAGCUUAGUAUAAAAUGAUUGUGAAAUCGAAGAUAUUACAAAUGUUUCAAUGGGAAUUCAAGAAUAAUUUGUUGUUGCAGUUGCAACGGAAAUGAUUGGAUAUUUGUAAUACCUAAAGAUAUGAUAUUCCAAAACCACAGCUUAAAAAAGAAAUAUUUUGAGGUUAAUACACAUGUACAUGCGUGUCAACGCCCUCUCCAUGCUUAAUAAUAAAGUCCGACAUGGAAACGUGCAUUUUAAUAUAUAUUUAACAGUGACGUCAAUGAUAGCAAAUGAGUCUUGAAAUAACAAUGAAAGAACGUGUUCAUACAGAUGAAUCAUCGUCACUGAUCUGAUGAUCUUCUACUGUUACAUUACAUGUCUCAAGCACGUCCAGUCUGCAGACAAUUCAAGUGACGUGCAGUGGAGUUUGUGAGUACCCGAAAGCAUCACGUUUACAAAUUCUUGCUGAGUAAAGGACAUGCUAUUUUAUCAUAACUGCUUGUAAUAAUCUUUAUAACACACAUAUAACAAAAUAACGCAUGGUUUAUACAAGGCGACCGUUCUAUGUUGAAAUGUAAUUAAAACCUUAUCAAUGACAAUGCAAAUUGUAGAGGAUGACGAAAUGUACGUACAGUGGUGGGCCUCGGGUUCCUUAAGUCAAUCUGCUGCGGUCAAAUAAGGAAGUUCGUGGGGUCAGUAUGUCUGAUGAGGUCUCAUACGGUCAUGCCCCCUCCCUCACCCCCCCCCCCCCUCGAAUCCAACAACAAUUACUGUUACGUUACAAUCUCCAUAAAUUUCAAAAGUGCCAUGACCAGGAAACUAUCACAUGGAUUGAGUCAUGUGUGCUGACAUAUAAAAACAACUUUUAUUGACUUCAGCUUUUAUUGAUAAAUAAAUUCGGAAUAAUAGUAAAAUUUCGUGAAGCAUGCAUACACGCGUGCAAAUAUACAUAUAAUAUAUUAUGUACUCAAUCACUAGUACCUCAGAUGAGUUCUAAGUAUAUGUGCAUUGCAUCAAAACUCAGAACACUUCGCCGGUCUAUAUGAUGUCAUUUUGUAUUAACAAUAAUUAGGACAUUCGUUUAAAUUCAUGUACUCUAUCCAUUAAAAACUUCCCCUAAAUUAGAAAAUGGUGAAAUCAAACUAUAAUUUUGAUAAUUGAAUACUGAGAGUUGAUAUACCCAAAUAUUCAAUUCAUCAAAUCAAUUGCGUCAAGUUCCUAUGUUGAGUAUGAAAUGCAUUAUUGAUAGUUAAAGGAA
Molecule: long non-coding RNA, 8293 nt
Organism: Ostrea edulis (European flat oyster)
Lineage: Eukaryota; Metazoa; Mollusca; Bivalvia; Ostreida; Ostreidae
Exons: 3
Source: RefSeq, a predicted model, not a curated record